GCGACCCGGAGGACAAUCUGGGAUCCGCCAGCUGCCUCUGGAAGGCAGAGGAUGGUUGGCGCACUCGCAGGGUGGCAAUGCUUAGCAGAAGCGCAGGUUUUGAAGUUUCCUAUGCUCAGGACACUGCCCAGUAUCUGAGUUGACUUCCUGUUGCCUGCAAGAUGUAGCACUCUCAGCUCCAGCACCACAUCUGCCAGCACAACGCCAUGCUCCCCGUCAUGAUGAUAAUGGACUGAACCUCUGAAACUAGUGCUAGGAUUAAAGACCUGCGCCACCACCUAAACUAAGAAGGGCGGUGAGAAGUCAUUCUUCAUUUGGAACAAACUCCCCGCGCCUGUGGAGAGGCCAGCUUCUAAUAAAGAAGCUGCUCUCCGCCCUCCAGAAGCCCGGGAAGGCGAAUACCCGCAACAGAAUGAGCCACGAGAUGCAAGCAACUGAAAAGGCCAAGCCUUCGCCUUCCGUCUUCCCCAGGACCUCAAAGGACCCCGGGCCACCCGCUCGCCCGCGGCCACCAGCACCCCGCCUCAGCAGCGAGUCUCACCCGGGGCAGCCUGCGAGCGUCUGAGCGCAAAGCCGGAGCCGCCAGGGGGCGCGCGCGCGCGCGCCACCGCCUAAGACGGAAGUCCCGCCUCCCAUUUCCGGUGGCAGAAAGGUG
Molecule: long non-coding RNA, 655 nt
Organism: Peromyscus californicus insignis
Lineage: Eukaryota; Metazoa; Chordata; Mammalia; Rodentia; Cricetidae
Exons: 3
Source: RefSeq, a predicted model, not a curated record